Molecule: signal recognition particle RNA, 264 nt
Filed under: Armatimonadota bacterium
Lineage: Bacteria; Bacillati; Armatimonadota
Description: Armatimonadetes bacterium (anaerobic digester metagenome) signal recognition particle sRNA large type
Rfam family: Bacterial large signal recognition particle RNA
About the family: The signal recognition particle (SRP) is a universally conserved ribonucleoprotein involved in the co-translational targeting of proteins to membranes. Archaeal SRP consists of a 7S RNA and homologues of the eukaryotic SRP19 and SRP54 proteins. In most bacteria, the SRP consists of a 4.5S RNA and the Ffh protein (a homologue of the eukaryotic SRP54 protein).
Source: RNAcentral
UCGUGCUAGACGGGGAACUAGCGGUGCCCUCGACCCGCAAUCCGCUACAGCGGGGUCGAAUUCCCGCCCGCGGUCUGGCUGUUUGAGUAGUACUGCAGUAAGCGGCGUUGAUAGUCGGGCCCCGCGCAAUGCUCGGCGUAUGAACCCCGUCAGGUCCGGAAGGAAGCAGCGGUAAAUGCGUACGUGCAUGUGCCGCGUGGUGAUCUGGCUGGAGUUGGCUGCUGGAGCAACGCUCGGGCGACCUUAUCAGAGGCAGGUGCACGA